UGGGAAUGGGAAUGGGGCCGGGAGUCAGCGGGGUUGCGUGAGAUUCGCAGAAUAUUCUGAGUUGGAAGGGAUCCACAAGGAUUCUCGAGUCCAGCUCUUAAGUAAGUGUCCCAUAUGGGGAUUGCACCCACCACUUUGGGGUUAUCAGCACCGUGUUCUAACCAACAGCAGCUACAGAAAAUUAACAAAUUUAACUACAAAUACCAAUGUAUUCAAUGAACCCACACAUCACCAUGAGGACAUCACAACAUCCCAGCUAUGUACCGCUUUGCUUGAGGAUUUUGAAGCCCAGAUUGCCUAGUCUGGUGCAAAUAUUUCUGGUGGAGACAUACAGGUGCAAACUCUACCAUUUGACAAGCAGGAUUAAAAGUAAGAUCAGGAUACACCUGCUGAAAUGCGUGAAACUGAUACGGCGUGUCGAAUUUCAGGUUGCCCUGAAAUGGACCAAGGUAAAAAUGAGUUAUAUAGCAUUGGAGAUGAAAAGAAUGAAAUCAAAGAAAAUCUUGCAAAAAAUUACUGCCUUGUUGCCUGUGUAUUAGAUGUCUUAAAAUAAGAGUCCUUGCUGUUGUAACACCAGCCCAAGUAUGAUCCUUAUGCAUCUCACUCCUGUGAAAUGAACACCUUGUUUGGAGAAGUAGCAGCUUAUUUUCAACUUUAGGAACUCUACAGUGCUGACUUCUCUUCCAUAUUCCAAGAGAAAGGACAGAUAAGCCCAGUCUGUGUCUCUUUAAUGUCUGUCACAUUUCCAGCAUGAGAACCCAGACGUUUGCUGGGGUAAUUAAAAGGCUCAAUCAAGGUGUAAACAUCAUAGGAAAAUCAGUUGAAAGCUGGAUCUAAAGGCUCAACUCACCCUGUGGAAGAUGCUUGUGCCUUUAAGCUGGGUUCUGAGAGAAAGCAGCUUUUCUGAAUGUGUGGAAUGUAGCACUGGAGCUGAAAGAUGCUGAGAAAAUCCAUUUAAAGGGUCAUAAUGUGGAUCAUGGCUUUGAAUGUGUUUAUUGUCACAUGACUGAGUAGAUCUUAAUGGAAAGUCAUUGAAUAUCACACAUGUGGAUAAAAGAAACGUACCAGUGCUUCAUCUGUGAAAGUGCUUUUACGUCACUUUAUAAAGUGCCUGGAAAGUGCCCAGAAACAGCCAUCAGAGGAAGCUUCAUCUCAGUGCACAUCAUCUGAAACUGAGCAGAUAAGCACUCUUCAUGACACUUUCUUGGCAUUAUCAGGAUAUGGUUACGUGCCCACACAGUGAUUUUACCACUAUUUUAACCAACUGGCUUUUAAUACAACUAAGGACUGGAUCAAGGUCUGCAAGCAUCUGUGCAAGCACAGGUAUUUUGAUUCCAAAAGUGAAUCCUAAAACUUGUCAAAUGUUGAAAAGAAAUCAAAACUACCACCCCAAAAAAAAAUUAAGAGGACUCUCAAUACAGGUCAAAAAGCCAAGCACUCCUCUGUCUGGGUCCUGUCACAUACAGACCCUUUAGAGUUGUUGGCUUCAGCUCCAUCACAGCAUCCUUACAUGUGGUAAGGUUGGUGGUGUCUUGACUGAUCCAUGCUGGAUCAACAUUGGAGAGUCAGGUUAAAAAACCCCUAAACAGCACAACAAAUGAACAAACAAAAACCAACCCAAACAAAUGACUUUUCUUGAGAAGCUCUAUUUUAUGUGUGUUUCACAAACUUAGCACAGAAUGACGAGCAAGGUUUAUUUUCUCUACAAUUUUGUGUCACUUGAAAGUUUCAUAUCUCAGAUUUUUAAGUCUUUCCAUCACUGAUGACAUUAUAAAAUACUGGUAUAGUGUAUUUUGGGUUUCCUUUUGAAUUAAUUUACUUAGCUUAUUUCUUAAGUGGCAAUCCAGAGAAGAGUUGAAGGAGCAUAUGGAAAACUACAGAACUGCUACCCCCUUUUGUCCUCAUUUUGGGAUCAAGUAUUCAAAACCAGACAUCAGUUGAGUGGACAUUAAAAACAAAUCCAUCAUGAGGAAACAACAAACCCACAAAUGAAAGAGAGGAAGAGAAGAAAGAAGCCUGAAGAUCAUCCUGUGUGUUUCAACAAAAAAGCACUUGAAAAGAAGGAUUUGAGCUAGUUUAAAUGCAGUAUGUACAGUAGGUAUGAUCUGUAUUAUAGCAAAACUUGCUAUUUUGUUUCUUAAUUGCAGAAUAUUUGGUAAUCUGGCACAUUUAUUUAUUUGCUGAUUUACUUACAUAUUUUUAUACAAAAGUUGCUCUUAGAUAGCCUGAACAAAAAUAAAAGUAGCUGCCUCCUACUUGAUUUGUGAUAUUACCAGUUUUUGCAAUAAAUUAAGCAUGUGCUGAUCAAAAGGUGCAGCUAAAGUUUUCUGCUUUAGUUUGUUAAAGGCAAUAACAAAGUACUGCCACUGAAAUAGGUUAUUUCAGGAGCCAAGAGAAAUUCUGUGAGACUUCUUGGAAUUCUGCAAGUUAACUAGCAGCUUCCUUGAAGUCAUGGCUGCGUUUUUAAGAGGAAUAUUAACUGAAGCAGCAGUUUUAUCAGUUAGUGUAAAAUUAUACCUGUCUGCACUUGUAAGAGUUAACACCAAGACUGACCUCAAGUGCAUCCUUUUUUCCAAAGAGAUUUUGAGAAGGCAUUUGAUGCUUUCCUGUUACUCAGAAAAGAUGUCUUUUUCUUUGAUAAAGAAGAUAAUAAUCUCUAGCAGCCACCUGUCCAUGAGUUGACACUACAAAGUAUUCUGAUAACUUUUCUAAUAUUUAGGUAGAGAAGCUUGUGUACAUCUCUUUCUCUAGAUUUUGUCUAAGUAUGUGCUUUUGGCUUGGGGUGUUUUCUCUUUUUGUUGUUUUUUAUGGCCAUAUAUAUCUGUUACAUUGUCAGAAAACAUUUUUACAAUAGUAUAACUAGAGAAAUCACUUUCUUACUUUCACAGUUGUGUAUCAUAAAUUAUUUCAAAUAAUCAAAGUUUGUUUCUCCAAAGGUUUCUUUAUCCCACUGUUUUCUAGGACUUAAAUAAUUGUCUAUACUGAAUCUGGCUUUCCUCAUUUGUUAUUGCUCAUGUGGAAAUAAAUACAUGUUUUAGUAGCUCUCUGAAAUUUAUACAAUAAAAAGAAAGUAAAAAUGGAGUUUGUGUUGGGUUAGUCAAAGGUCUAAUUGCUUGCAGUGAGCUGUUGCAUUUUUGUUAGUAAGUAGGGAGCAGACCAAUGUGCUGAUAAUGUACCUUGCACACAGGCAUCAGUCUUCUGGGUUUUUUUAAAAUCAAGUAGUCAGCUAACAAAACUUGUCUCUGAAGUGGCAGAAGUGUAAUGUUAAGCAUGUUAUAUCAUUACAACAGUUACUUGUGAACCAGAGGAGUAUGACAAUCCAAAUUUUAUCUGAGGUUACAUAUGAAAUGUGACUCCUGAUGUAUGCACUACAACUCUUGUUUUGUAAGAAAAAUGAGUGUUUAUGGACUGGGUCUCUGGAGCUCUCCCUGGAACCCUGAAGAUUAAGAACUUACUUAACUUUUCAUACCUAUUUCUGACUUGAGCUUUGCUUGACUUUUGGACAGCAAAACAAACUUUAUGUCAACACUGUUCCUUUCCUUCAGCCCCCUGAGGUGCAAACUCAUAAAACUGGCAUUAGCUGUAGUCCCAGCCUGCAGCUGUCUCGUAAUUCUUGCCAUGAAGGCCCCAUCCCCACAGCAGAAUGGGAUCUGUUGGGAAUCACAGCCAGCUCAGUGGUGUGUCCUGCAGCACAGAUGGAAUAGCUGAUGGCAGAAGGGCGUAAGGAUAACCCUGCUGUGCUGACUGUGACUUGAGAGCUCUGUGUGCCCUGCACAGAGUUCCAGCGUGCUAGAGGAAGCUGCCUCAUUUUCUCUUUGUCCCACAGUUGUCUCUCGUUAUGCCCAGAUUAACAGACACACAUGAGAUGUGUAUUUUAGAGUCUAUAGGUUCUGUAAAACUUCAAGGAAUUCCUGUGAACUAAAAGAGAUCUUUGUCAGGGGUUACCAGCAAAGUGUUGGAAGCAGGACCUGGAAACCCAGCUGUUUUCCUGGGCGUCCUGUGGCGCUUUUUUUUUUUUCCUCCAGGAGGGGGCAGCAGAUGAACAACAUCAGGGGCUGUUUUUUACUUUGAAACGCUUUUUCCAGUGUCCCUCUCUGCCUGAGAAUCCCAGCUGGAGCUCCAUACCGAUGGGAGAGUUUAAAAUUAUGAUUCCUACCUGUUUGCUACAAGAAUAGCUGGAAUGUAUGUCUGGAAAGUCUUCAUUCUUUUUAGUAUUAAACAGUAGAAUUUCUUUAGUAAAAUCUAUC
Molecule: long non-coding RNA, 4247 nt
Organism: Ficedula albicollis (Collared flycatcher)
Lineage: Eukaryota; Metazoa; Chordata; Aves; Passeriformes; Muscicapidae
Exons: 6
Source: RefSeq, a predicted model, not a curated record